CCACCGGAGGCGUCGAGACGACGGGCAGGCGCGGGGGACCCACCGAUCAGUGGCCCUCCGGGCCUCGGGGUGAAGCCGCAGCAUGCGGCCGGGCAACUCUCGCCCGAACCCGACAGCUAACUCCGCAGGCGGCGAGAGGCUCA
Molecule: small RNA, 143 nt
Filed under: Blastococcus saxobsidens
Lineage: Bacteria; Bacillati; Actinomycetota; Actinomycetes; Geodermatophilales; Geodermatophilaceae
Description: c-di-AMP sequence
Rfam family: c-di-AMP riboswitch aptamer (ydaO/yuaA leader) (bases 31-126)
About the family: This family represents a conserved RNA structure found upstream of the ydaO and yuaA genes in Bacillus subtilis and related genes in other bacteria. The ydaO/yuaA element is thought to act as a genetic "off" switch for the ydaO and yuaA genes in its native state. It is believed that the element may be triggered during osmotic shock leading to activation of ydaO, a predicted amino acid transporter gene, and members of the yuaA-yubG operon which code for KtrA and KtrB K+ transporters.
Source: RNAcentral